UCCAACCUGCCCACUGAAAUUUUAAAUGGCCGCAGUAUUUUAACUGUGCAAAGGUAGCAUAAUCAUUAGUCUUUUAAUUGAAGGCUGGAAUGAAUGGUUGAAUGAAAUAUUAACUGUUUCAUAUAAAUUAAAAAUAGAAUUUUAUUUUUUAGUUAAAAAGCUAAAAUUUUUUUAAAAGACGAGAAGACCCUAUAAAUCUUUAUAUUUAAGUUUUUAAUUUUUAUAUAGAUAAUUAAAAUUUUUAUAUAAUUAAAUAUUUUAUUGGGGUGAUAUUAAAAUUUACAUAACUUUUAAUUUUAAAUAAACAUAAAUUAUUGAAUUAUUGAUCCACAAAUUAUGAUUAAAAAAUUAAAUUACUUUANGGAUAACAGCGUAAUUUUUUUA
Molecule: ribosomal RNA, 384 nt
Filed under: Melaloncha fuscipalpis
Lineage: Eukaryota; Metazoa; Arthropoda; Insecta; Diptera; Phoridae
Description: partial 16S ribosomal RNA
Source: RNAcentral